AUUGAACGCUGGCGGCAGGCCUAACACAUGCAAGUCGAGCGAGUGGCGGACGGGUGAGUAAUGUCUGGGACACUGCCUGAUGGAGGGGGAUAACUACUGGACACGGUCGCUAAUACCGCAUACCCUCAGAUGUGCCCAGAUGGGAUUAGCUAGUAGGUGGGGUAACGGCUCACCUAGGCGACGAUCCCUAGCUGGUCUGAGAGGAUGACCAGCCACACUGGAACUGAGACACGGUCCAGACUCCUACGGGAGGCAGCAGUGGGGAAUAUUGCACAAUGGGCGCAAGCCUGAUGCAGCCAUGCCGCGUGUAUGAAGAAGGCCUUCGGGUUGUAAAGUACUUUCAGCGGGGAGGCGUUACCCGCAGAAGAAGCACCGGCUAACUCCGUGCCAGCAGCCGCGGUAAUAC
RNAcentral lists this ribosomal RNA (406 nucleotides) under uncultured bacterium. RNAcentral's name for it is "partial 16S ribosomal RNA". It matches the Rfam family "Bacterial small subunit ribosomal RNA", at positions 30 to 526 of the family's 1533-position model. The record is from RNAcentral.